Molecule: long non-coding RNA, 720 nt
Organism: Daktulosphaira vitifoliae (grape phylloxera)
Lineage: Eukaryota; Metazoa; Arthropoda; Insecta; Hemiptera; Phylloxeridae
Exons: 3
Source: RefSeq, a predicted model, not a curated record
UAUAGCUGUAGAAUACAUUGCAUAUAAAUCGCAAAUACUUAAUAUAUAACGAAAACACAAUUACAAACACAAAGUUAACUAAUAAUUUUUUUUAUAGUAGUGUUAUUCAUAAAAAAAAAAAGAAAUCUAGACUAGUUUAGAAACUUCAAUAAACUCGUAUAUUGCCUAAGGCUUUUAUCCAAUCAAAACAUUCUACAUGAGUUAUCGAUCCAGACCAAUGUACAUACAGUAGAGAUGACAUCAAAAGACACACAAUCACUACCUGAAAAAAAAGUAAAACAAAUGGUAUAAAUCGAAGUACAAAAAAAAAUUAAAUUAUUGCCGUAAUCAAAUGCUACAUAAUUAUAAAAAAAUUGGAGUUUGGGCACUACUUUUAUAUAAAUUAUGGUCCAUCCGCCAACUUGACAUUUUGUUAAAGGACUGCUUAAAAUGUACUGUAGAUGAAUAAACUAGAAGUUGAUAGACUUGGUGACACAUCAUCUCUCUAGAUAAUCCAAUAGUAUUGUUUUGUAAGACAAGAACAUUUAGUUCUUCUGUCUGUUGAAAGGACGUUGUCACGAUUUUAUAUCGUGAGCACAAUCAAAUUUGCUGAUUAUUUCGUGAUAACUAAAUUGGUUAAAACUUGCGUUCUAUAAAGCAACAAUUAAAAUACUAAGUACAGAUUUAUAUAUAAUUUAAAAUUAUUCAACGCACGAAUGAAAGACUUAAUAAUAGGAUUGU